CGUCCUUGUAGCUUAUAAAAAGCAUGACACUGAAGAUGCCAAGAUGGUACCUA
Molecule: transfer RNA, 53 nt
Filed under: Pyrgilauda ruficollis (rufous-necked snowfinch)
Lineage: Eukaryota; Metazoa; Chordata; Aves; Passeriformes; Passeridae
Description: Montifringilla ruficollis (rufous-necked snowfinch) partial tRNA-Phe
Source: RNAcentral